GUUAAACUGGUUAGCAGUUGAAGAAGAGAAAAAAAACAAAGGUUAAGAUGGAACAAGCAGAGGGGCUAGGCCUCCUCCUGCAGAGGAAAGCCCCUCAUUCCUGAGAAGACCUAGGAAGUUCAGGAAGAGACUCCAGAUUGAGAAGUGGAUGUAACCUCGCAAUCGGUGACCAGUCCAUGAGUAGGAAAUGAGGUACUCAAAAGGCUGCAUUCCUCCUCCACAAAAACCAAAACAAAGAUUCAGAGAAACUGCCGACCUAAAUGCAAGGUGAAGAGUCUCUUCCUCCUGCUUGUGAAGGCAGUUUCCGUCUCUCAGAGACGAGAUAGAACUGGGAAAGGGUAGAGAUGAGGCAGAGGACUGACUCAAAAGGAAGACAAGGACAGUCAUGUGCUGCAGAACAACAUUUGGGUCAACGAUGGACCACAUAUAUGAUGGUAGUCCCCUAAGGUUAGUACCAUACAGCCUAGGUGUGUAGUGGGCUAUCCCAU
Molecule: long non-coding RNA, 488 nt
Filed under: Equus caballus (horse)
Lineage: Eukaryota; Metazoa; Chordata; Mammalia; Perissodactyla; Equidae
Description: lncRNA (ENSECAG00000054082.1)
Source: RNAcentral